UUCAUUUAAAACCAUGCAAAUAGAAUGUCCCUGUUAUUUUCUAUAUAAAUAUCAAUUUUGUAGGUGAACAUUAUGUAUCUUAUUAUUGUAAUGAGAAAGUUUCACCCUCUUUUUGUAGUAGACUGUUUUUUCCCCAUCUCAAUCAUAGAUUGCAAAAACCUAAUGAGCAAGGUUUUAAAUCCUGUGGGAUGAGGUCAUCUUGGUUUUUCUGUGGAUAAGGACGUGCAAGAUGCACCGCCGUCCUGCCCCGUCAUGACACUUGGGACAGAAAUGUCCCAAAACAUGCCGAUCAGGUCAUUGAGAUGCCCAUUCUGACACUUGGGAUGGUACUGUAUCUUGGCAUCCUGCAAGAUGUCCCACCCGGAUUUGAAACUAUGCUAAUGAGUGCUGAACUACACCAAAAUAGUAUAAAUGGGAUGGUGUAACCAGUAGUAGAAAGUAAAUUUGAUUAAAAAAAUCAUAGGCUAUGGAAGAAACUCCAAAAGUGAGCAGAGGUGGGCUUGCAGGGAAGGAGACUUAUGGCCAUGGAAUGCCGUACGGUCCGGCCGUGGACCGGUACCGGAACGGAUAAAAAACCGG
RNAcentral lists this long non-coding RNA (579 nucleotides) under Phoenix dactylifera (date palm). RNAcentral describes it as "long non-coding RNA (PDAC_LNC021296)". Lineage: Eukaryota; Viridiplantae; Streptophyta; Magnoliopsida; Arecales; Arecaceae. The record is from RNAcentral.